Molecule: transfer RNA, 70 nt
Filed under: human gut metagenome
Also listed under: 1 other name
Rfam family: tRNA
About the family: Transfer RNA (tRNA) molecules are approximately 80 nucleotides in length.
Source: RNAcentral
UGAAGUAGCUCAGUCGGUAGAGCAACGCACUCGUAAUGCGUAGGUCGCAGGUUCGAUUCCCGUCUUCAGC